This 712-nucleotide long non-coding RNA is filed under the name Gossypium raimondii (Peruvian cotton). Its description in RNAcentral is "long non-coding RNA (GRAI_LNC002675)". Lineage: Eukaryota; Viridiplantae; Streptophyta; Magnoliopsida; Malvales; Malvaceae. The record is from RNAcentral.
AAACGGAAUUUACUUAAAUAGAUGGAAUGUGUGGUUAUGUAUAUUUGCUUGAAUAAGUGAACUCGGUACGUUCAUAUGACAGAAUCUUAUGUAUAAUUGUUAAAUUAGAGGUAAUAUGAUAUUUUGUUAUGUGUAUUUAUUAUUGAAUCAUGAAUAUUAUAAUAGUAUGAAAAUUGAAUUGGAAGAUCAAAUUGAGUAGAACGCAGGAAUGAGUACUUUCGUUCAGUGAUAUGUGAUGAAUUGACGGAAAAUACCAUGGUUUGGCCAUGCAACAUGUGAAAAUGUGAUUAUGAAAUUUCCGUGUAAGACCAUAUCUGGAAUAUGGCAUCAUUGUGAUAUGUGAUUCCGUGUAAGACUAUAGCUGGGCUAUGGCAUCGGUAUGUGAUAUGUGAUUACAUGUAAGACCAUAGUUGGAUAUGGCAAUGUGAAAACGAAGUACUCAAUUCCGUAAGGCGUUCUGUAAUUUGACAAAUUGUGGUAAGUGUUAGGCAAAUUUUAUGUGAUAAAACAUAUUAAACAGUGAAAUUGAGCUCAAUUAUGUGAUCUCACCAUUCAGAGAUUAUGUUUGUCAGGUUAUGUUAAUAAAUUAUGUGUAUGUGAAUUUAAGUGACAGAAAUUAAACAGAUAAUGAUAUUGAGCUCAUUUACAUGAAUCUGUCAUUUGAAAUUGUGAUUGACAAGAAGAAAUAGUGAUUUGCAUGCUUAUGUAUGGU